CCUGGUCCAGCCCUAACUAUAUGCUUUAGCAAAAAGGAAAGUUUGAAGCCUAAUCUUGAAAGUAGAGAUAGUGUCUGUCUCCUGAAUCCAAACUGGAAGCUGGUUCCACAGAAGAGGGGCCUGAAAACUGAAGGCUCUGCCUCCCAUUCUACUUUUAAAUACUCUAGGAACAACAAGUAGGCCUGCAGAGCGAGAGCGAAGUGCUCUAAUAGGGUGAUAUGGUACUACAAGGUCAUUAAGAUAAGAUGGGGCCUGAUUAUUUAAGACCUUGUAUGUGAGGAGCAGAUUGAAACAUGGUGAGAUUAAAAGCUCCACCCUGACCGAGGAGAAGCAGGAGCUCAUGCUCCAUCCUGUGGGUUUGAAGGACUCACACUGCAGCAGGAUAAUGAACCCAAAUACACCAAAGAAGACCGCAGAGUGCUGACAUCAUGGACCGAGUGGAAGAAGGGGUUAAAGAUGAACCUGGCUCUGGUCCAUGACAGAGAGCUCAUUAAGACGUUCUGGGAGAGGAGGAUCGAGACUCAGACUCAGCAAGCUGACAGCGAGGAGCAGAGGAUGAGCCAGAGCGCACUCAAAAAGCUGAGGGGGGAGUGGCUGGUCCGUCUGGAGAACCGAACCAAACACCUGAAGAACCUCAAUGACAACUACAUGAGGAAGAUGAAGAUGGAGCCGUCAGCUGACCAGACCUGAGCCCCCGAUAACUCGCCGUAGAGCUGCUGAGCCAACAACCGCGUCUCCUCCUGCUGCUGUGUGAGAGAAAUAAAGAGCUGGAAAAUAGACGCGUCUGUGAUUCAUUCAGAGUCAGAGUUUGAACGUUCUGUUUUAUUUCCUGCAUCUCAAACACAUCAGUGCAUCAGAGCCAGCAGUGUCAGGCUGUGCUGAUUCUGCAGCAGGUGUAAAGAUCACUGAGACUCACUCUGAAGCCUCUGACCGCCAACAUGGCGCCAUCUGCUGGACAAACAGGAACAAACCUCGAGGAGGGGCUGAACGUUCAGUCCAGUAAAGGUGGGAACAUGAAGGAGUUUCCGACGCCGGCCACAUGCAGCGUGUGAACCAAUAAAUAAUCUAUAAGUGACCAUUAGUGACAAAACCAUCAGUCCCCUUCAACACCAGCAAACAGCAGAGCUGGGUCAGUGUUUGGAACGUAACUGAAAUAAAAACAACUAUUAAAUAUUUUAAAUUCACUCUUCAGUCAUUUCAAGUUUUCUCACAGCAGCUUCACAAAUACAAACUUUUUAAGUUUUCAGUUGUUUUUCUACAGAAGCAUAAAAAAGUUAAUUUUAUGAAUUAUUCUCUGCAGAAUUUAAGACUUUGGCC
Molecule: long non-coding RNA, 1317 nt
Organism: Astatotilapia calliptera (eastern happy)
Lineage: Eukaryota; Metazoa; Chordata; Actinopteri; Cichliformes; Cichlidae
Source: Ensembl